AACUUUUAAAGGAUAAUAGCUAAUCCACUGGUCUUAGGAACCACACAUC
RNAcentral lists this transfer RNA (49 nucleotides) under Campylopterus falcatus. RNAcentral describes it as "partial tRNA-Leu". Lineage: Eukaryota; Metazoa; Chordata; Aves; Apodiformes; Trochilidae. The record is from RNAcentral.